This 21-nucleotide non-coding RNA is filed under the name Arabidopsis thaliana (thale cress). Lineage: Eukaryota; Viridiplantae; Streptophyta; Magnoliopsida; Brassicales; Brassicaceae. The record is from RNAcentral.
UCCGCUUUUCUGUGUGUCUCA